Papaver somniferum (opium poppy) is the source of this 852-nucleotide long non-coding RNA. RefSeq lists it as uncharacterized. The record is from RefSeq and is a predicted model, not a curated record. The transcript has 6 exons. Lineage: Eukaryota; Viridiplantae; Streptophyta; Magnoliopsida; Ranunculales; Papaveraceae.
UGAGCGGACUCGGAAAAUACAAAUUUAGAAGAAAAACUGAUUGGUCACUUAGAGAUUUCACAGUUCAUUAUAAUACUCCACAUGGAGGACUUCUCAUUGUUACUGAUGUUAAUGGAAAACCAACAGGAACAAGGUACACUUCUAAAAGAAGGCAUCUCAGUCAAGAACAGGAUUUGUCCGCAUUAGAUGAACGUUAUAGAAAAACUACCUUGUCUAUUAAACAAGAAAGCUAAAUGGAAAAAACAUCACUAUACACCCCACAAUAAGAAUGAAAAGCGUUUUGCAGAUCAACCCAACAUCACAGGGGGCUGAAGGAUCCUGUGAAAUUUUAGACUACUGAAGAGAAUCAGGUACUUUCGCAAUAUUAAUGGUAGAAGCCACCAGAAAGCCAAGCACACAGUGUCUAGGAACAACUUCCUUCGGUGCAAAGCUGAAAUAGUUUUCAGACGUCUACCGAUUCCUGGCAUUUCACUGUAUCUGCAAAGAUAACUGGAGUUUCGAACAAAAAUAGAAAUUUGGGGGUCCAGUUUUAUAUAAAGUUAGAGCAAGACAUGAAAUGUGGUGCUGGUUCUUUCCAGUUAUGUCAGACUUAAGAAAUUUGGUGGUGAUACUCCUUACGGGGCCAUCCUGCCGAAAUUCCUUACCCGAAAGCCUAAGAGGUCCGUUCAUUGCUCAUAAAUCCCAUAUUGUACUUAAUUCUCUUUGAUGGUUGCUCUCUUUUUGCUCAAGCUAGUCAGUGUAAUUCUCUCUAUUGUAGAAUGAUUUUUUAGGGACCAUGGUUUUUUUGGAGGGACCAUGGUCUUAUUAGACCAACCUCCCUAUACUUAUAAGGUUGUCCUAAUAUUAGGUAAA